AGAGUUUGAUCCUGGCUCAGGACGAACGCUGGCGGCGUGCCUAACACAUGCAAGUCGAACGGUUCAGUGAUUAGCACUGAGCGCAAGGUAAAAGUUGCGUUGAGUGCUAAUCGCUGGAUAGUGGCGGACGGGCGAGUAACGCGUGAGCAAUCUGCCUUGUACUGGGGGAUAACGUCGGGAAACCGGCGCUAAUACCGCAUAACACUACGAGAUCGCAUGGUCAUGUAGUCAAAACUCCGGUGGUACAAGAUGAGCUCGCGUCCAAUUAGCUAGUUGGUGAGGUAAUGGCCCACCAAGGCGACGAUUGGUAGCCGAACUGAGAGGUUGAUCGGCCGCAUUGGGACUGAGACACGGCCCAGACUCCUACGGGAGGCAGCAGUGGGGAAUAUUGCGCAAUGGAGGAAACUCUGACGCAGCAACGCCGCGUGAAGGAUGAAGGCUUUCGGGUUGUAAACUUCUUUGAUCGGGGACGAAAAUGACGGUACCCGAGGAACAAGCCACGGCUAACUACGUGCCAGCAGCCGCGGUAAUACGUAGGUGGCAAGCGUUGUCCGGAAUUACUGGGUGUAAAGGGCGUGUAGGCGGGAAUGUAAGUCAGAUGUGAAAUCCCAGGGCUUAACUCUGGAGCUGCAUCUGAAACUGCGUUUCUUGAGUGUCGGAGAGGAAAGUGGAAUUCCCAGUGUAGCGGUGAAAUGCGUAGAGAUUGGGAGGAACACCAGUGGCGAAGGCGGCUUUCUGGACGAUAACUGACGCUGAGGCGCGAAAGCGUGGGGAGCAAACAGGAUUAGAUACCCGGGUAGUCCACGCUGUAAACGAUGGAUACUAGGUGUAGGAGGUAUCGACCCCUUCUGUGCCGGAGUUAACACAAUAAGUAUCCCACCUGGGGAGUACGGCCGCAAGGUUGAAACUCAAAUGAAUUGACGG
This 924-nucleotide ribosomal RNA is filed under the name uncultured bacterium. Its description in RNAcentral is "bacterial SSU rRNA". It matches the Rfam family "Bacterial small subunit ribosomal RNA", at positions 8 to 916 of the family's 1533-position model. The record is from RNAcentral.